UACGUAGGGUGCAAGCGUUGUCCGGAAUUAUUGGGCGUAAAGAGCUCGUAGGCGGUUCGUCGCGUCGGCUGUGAAAACCUGAGGCUCAACCUCAGGCCUGCAGUCGAUACGGGCGGACUUGAGUACUGCAGGGGAGACUGGAAUUCCUGGUGUAGCGGUGAAGUGCGCAGAUAUCAGGAGGAACACCGGUGGCGAAGGCGGGUCUCUGGGCAGUAACUGACGCUGAGGAGCGAAAGCGUGGGGAGCAAACAGG
RNAcentral lists this ribosomal RNA (253 nucleotides) under uncultured bacterium. RNAcentral describes it as "partial 16S ribosomal RNA". It matches the Rfam family "Bacterial small subunit ribosomal RNA", at positions 524 to 776 of the family's 1533-position model. The record is from RNAcentral.